GGUUCCCUUCAAAGAGCCGUAAAUCCCAUCACUACUAUUAAGAUUAUACAACCUAUGUGACUCUUGAGGCCAAACUUUCACAGCUUCAGCAAAUGGCACUACCUUUUCCAUUUGGAUUCAGUUAUGUCAGCCAUAUGUUCACCAAUCUCUGCAGAUAUUCGUUCUGAUAUUUUGUUUUUCUUGCUACACACGCCAUGAAUUGGCAUAAGCCACAACUGCAUUUUGCAACAAAGUGGAACCACGCCCACCUGAUACAGGCGCUCUGUCGCGUUACCGGGCGGGCUUUGGAGCCAGCCAGAAUCACGUGGGAAAUGACUCAAAAAUCUUCUUACAUGUCGAUAUAUCCGUCUUUGAGAAUUCCGAAAAGCGCCUUUAAAACAGUGUAAAAGCUUGUGAAGAAUAACUGGAUUGUGGCUUUGGAGAGAACUUUUCUGUGGAGGUGAGACUGAUGGGCUAAAUGGAGAAUUUAUACAACACACUGACUCCAUGAAGGAAAACUGAUUGCGGAUGGAGUCAAUCAAUGUAUGCUGUUUCCCCUGGACCUUCCUUGUGUGCCUUGGGCAUCUGACAGACCCGAUCCAGUGAAGUCAUCAUUCUCUUCAGAAUUUCUUCCUUCAUUUGUAUCUGUGAUGUAUGCUGUUUCCCCUGGACCUUCCUUGUGUGCCUUGGGCAUCUGACAGACCCGGUAGAGUCUUUAUUUCCAUCAGAGUCAGUCACUUCAUUUUGACUUGUGGCAAAUAUUGGAAUCUGGUUUAACUCUGCAUCAACAUUUGUGCCGCUGGAUUCUGCACAGACACAACACACAAUCAAAAGAAUAUAUAAUGUUUAGAAAAAGUGGAUGUUAACUGAGCAAAAACACAUUUUGAAACAUGUUGUCAAUCACAAAGAAAUGGAGCAUUUACAUAAAUAUGGAUAUUAAGAGCA
Molecule: long non-coding RNA, 924 nt
Organism: Siniperca chuatsi (mandarin fish)
Lineage: Eukaryota; Metazoa; Chordata; Actinopteri; Centrarchiformes; Sinipercidae
Exons: 5
Source: RefSeq, a predicted model, not a curated record